UACGGGGGGGGCAAGCGUUGUUCGGAAUUACUGGGCGUAAAGGGCUCGUAGGUGGCCAACUAAGUCAGACGUGAAAUCCCCCGGCUUAACCGGGGAACUGCGUCUGAUACUGGAUGGCUUGAGUUUGGGAGAGGGAUGCGGAAUUCCAGGUGUAGCGGUGAAAUGCGUAGAUAUCUGGAGGAACACCGGUGGCGAAGGCGGCAUCCUGGACCAACACUGACGCUGAGUGAGCGAAAGCCAGGGGAGCAAACGGG
RNAcentral lists this ribosomal RNA (254 nucleotides) under uncultured bacterium. RNAcentral describes it as "partial 16S ribosomal RNA". It matches the Rfam family "Bacterial small subunit ribosomal RNA", at positions 524 to 776 of the family's 1533-position model. The record is from RNAcentral.